Molecule: microRNA precursor, 79 nt
Organism: Gorilla gorilla gorilla (western lowland gorilla)
Lineage: Eukaryota; Metazoa; Chordata; Mammalia; Primates; Hominidae
Source: Ensembl
AGGUAAAUAUGAUGAAACUCACAGCUGAGGAGCUUAGCAAGUAGCUAAGGCCAGAGCUUGUGUCUGGGUGGUGUGGCUG